CUUAGUAGAUGGGUUUUUCUUCCAUUGAUUUUUCUAAUUGUUUUUGGAACAUGUAAGCCUGUAACAAUCCACAGCAUGCCAUGGUGGAUGGAAGUUACUACUGGGAAUGAAGAAGGAGAAUGACAUUUGUUUGACAGUAAAGAUUAAUUGGAAAAUGAACUGCGUAAUGGAUGUUUGUGGAGGAAUAACUAACAUAAUGGAAUAUUUUGGCUAUUUCAGCAGGCCGAGUGUGCUGCAGGGCCAGAAGGGCAGCUGUUCAUCUGGUGCACAUUUCCAGCGCAACGGCUCCAGCAGGAACAUUCGCACCUCCAGCCAACGCGAUUGGCAUCGAUGGCUGCCAGCAGGAUCUGGGAGAUUUCCGCUCCUUCGUGCACCUAUCGUAUGACAACACUUGAAUUGUAUACCAAAAGCUGUACUUUCCAUCAUCACCAGAGUCAAAAUUGCAUCGACGGGGAGGACACAUAGGUAUAAACUUUGAGAGCAGUGAAGUGUAAGAAUGAAUAAAAACAACCAACAUUAUUGCCUGCUCCAGCCCACAAACAUGGUCUGACUACUACACACAGUGGAAGAUAUUUAUAUACUGGUGCA
This is a long non-coding RNA of Hirundo rustica (Barn swallow), 588 nucleotides long. RefSeq lists it as uncharacterized. NCBI's taxonomy places the organism in Eukaryota, Metazoa, Chordata, Aves, Passeriformes, Hirundinidae. The transcript has 4 exons. The record is from RefSeq and is a predicted model, not a curated record.